RNAcentral lists this ribosomal RNA (508 nucleotides) under uncultured bacterium. RNAcentral describes it as "partial 16S ribosomal RNA". It matches the Rfam family "Bacterial small subunit ribosomal RNA", at positions 28 to 507 of the family's 1533-position model. The record is from RNAcentral.
GACGAACGCUGGCGGCGUGCUUAACACAUGCAAGUCGAACGAAGAGCGAUGGAAUCUUUCUUCUAUCAGUCUUAGUGGCGAACGGGUGAGUAACGCGUAAUCUACCUGCCCUUCAGAGGGAGACAACAGUAGGAAACGACUACUCAUACCACAUACGACCUAAUCUUGGCAUCGAUUAAAGAUUAAAGGUGGCCUCUAUUUAUAAGCUCUCACUUCAGGUUGUGAUUGGGUCAGAUUAUCUCGUUGGAGGGGUAACGGCCCACCAAGGCGAUGAUGAGUAGCCGGGCUGAGAGGAUGAACGGCCACAUUGGGACUGAGACACGGCACAGACUCCGACGGGAGGCAGAAGUGGGGAAUCUUCCGAAAUGGAGGAAAGUCUGACGGAGGAACGCCGCGCGAGUGAUGACGGCCUUCGGGUUGUAAAGCUCUGUUAGUCGGGACGAGGGCUUCUUGCGAACAGUUAGAAGGAUUGACGGUACCGGAAUAGAAAGCCACGGCUAACUACGUG